CAUACAUACAUAACAGUCUAUGUGCUCUUUGUGAGCUUUAGCAACUAUACCUGCCUAAUCUAAGUUUCCAGCACUUUCUCAAACAUGAAUGUCCUCCUGCUGCUUUUUGUUUAGUUCCUGCUCAAUCCUAAUUUCAAUCUGGCUGCUUUUCAAGAUUAUUGUCUCAUACAGCGUAUUUUAACUGUGAUAUGGAUUCUGUCCUAGAGUAGGAGGCACCCAUGGAUUUGUUCAAAAAACCUACAAAGGUUUUGCUGAACUUUGAGGCUGUGUUGAACUUUGUAGUGUACCCCUCAGGACAGCACACACUGAGGGUAACUCAACAGAUGCUACAACAAAAGACACGGGGAGGAUGCCGUAUAUACAGACACAGAAGGCUGAUUAGGGAUACAGCUGGAGGAAUAAGACACAGGUGCUCACAAUCGGAACCAUCAGGGGAAGACAGACAGGAAGCGAGACCCGAAGCAAGACCCAAGAGAAACCAUCUGUCAAAGUAAAACAGGAAACAAGCCUAAAGACAUAUAACUAAAAAAAGGAUAAAAAGAUUUCCACUAAUCAUGAACACAGAGACAAGAAAACACCAGAGGACAAAGGCAUAAACAUGCGACAGAGUAACGAACAAAGAGGGAUUAAACUUGGGGAAAAAACAUGGAGCUCAAAAUAGAAACUGAAGCUGAACACAGACCAAAGAUUCAAAACCAGAGAUGAGAACAGAGCAAAAAUUAGAGCUCUGCAGUAUCACCUGAAAUCAAACUUCGAACUCAAAACAGGUAUGAAGCACUUCAGACCUUCAAACUGUGCAAUAAUAAAACUCAAACAGAAACACAGACUCGUAUAAAAAUCCAAGAAGCUGUGAAGCAACAGUUCAUCCUCCAAGGUGAGACUUCUGAUGUGUCUUGAAGGCAUCUCUCUAAAAAAAACAAAAACAAAUCAAAAACAAAUAAAGCAGCUCACCUGAAGAAAAAAAAAAAGACAACAAACUUGCCUUCAGGCUCACACACUAAACAAGCCCAGUGACCUGAAAAACAGCAAAACAAAUCUUUCAUUCUGUUGCAGAACACUGCUAAGUGGGUACAGUUCUCCCUACAAUUUCCCAUAUUCCAUCUAUUUUUCCCCUCAACCAAUAAGCCAACCACUGUGUAAAACCAAUUAUUCCACUGGAAAAUGAG
Molecule: long non-coding RNA, 1166 nt
Organism: Oreochromis niloticus (Nile tilapia)
Lineage: Eukaryota; Metazoa; Chordata; Actinopteri; Cichliformes; Cichlidae
Exons: 3
Source: RefSeq, a predicted model, not a curated record